GUAACUGCUGUAAAUUGUUGAGAAAUUCCCUCGAGUGUUUAUGGGCUCCAUCAUCAACCCGGUCCUGCGACACAGAUGAUCACACAGCAGGUAAUUGCUAUAAAUCGUUGAAAAGUUCCCUCGACUAUCUUUCGUAACCCUCAUCAGACUGAAAUGGCACUUAUAACACAUAUAUAUGCAAAGUUCUCAUCAAUAGAAACGGAUUAAGUUCAAACAGCAGGUAAUUGCUAUAAAUCGUUAAAGAGUUCCCUCGACUAACUUUUGUCUCCAUCAUCAGAUUGUAAUGGCACUUAUAACUCAUACAGGUGCAAAGUUCUCAUCUAUAGAAACGAAUUAAGUUCAAAAAGCAGGUAAUUGCUAUAAAUUCUUAAAGAGUUCCCUCGACUAUCUUUCGUCUCCAUCAUCAGACUUUAAUGGCACUUGUAACUUAUAUAGGUGCAAAGUUCUCAUCAAUAGAAACGAAUUAAGAUCAAACAGCAGGUAAUUGCUAUAAGUCGUUGAAGAGUACCCUCGACUAUCUUUCGUCUCCAUCAUCAGACUGAAAUGGCACUUAUAACUCAUACAUAUGCAAAGUUCUCAUCAAUAGAAACGAAUUAAGUUCAAACAGCAGGUAAUUGCUAUAAAUCGUUAAAGAGUUCCCUCGACUAUCUUUUGUCUCCAUCAUCAGACUGUAAUGGCACUUAUAACUCAUACAGGUGCAAAGU
Molecule: unclassified non-coding RNA, 704 nt
Filed under: Melitaea cinxia (Glanville fritillary)
Lineage: Eukaryota; Metazoa; Arthropoda; Insecta; Lepidoptera; Nymphalidae
Description: misc RNA ENSMCXG00005007781.1
Source: RNAcentral